GUCGUCGUCGGGGGGUGAGAUGCCCGCGUUGUUGAAGGCGACGUCGACGCUGCCGUAGGUGUCGUACGCCGUGCCGAACAGCGCCUCGACC
This 91-nucleotide transfer RNA is filed under the name Streptomyces parvulus. Its description in RNAcentral is "tRNA-Phe(gaa)". The record is from RNAcentral. Lineage: Bacteria; Bacillati; Actinomycetota; Actinomycetes; Kitasatosporales; Streptomycetaceae.